Non-coding RNA from Microcebus murinus (gray mouse lemur), 1123 nucleotides. Lineage: Eukaryota; Metazoa; Chordata; Mammalia; Primates; Cheirogaleidae. The record is from RefSeq and is a predicted model, not a curated record.
GGAAGUCAGGGGGCGUGGUCCUGCUGCCUCACGUAACUGGCUGUCUCUGGGGCACCAGCUUUCUUCUCCAUAAAAGGAGGAUACGUAAUGGCGUUCCUUCUGAAAAGGGUGGCUGAGUUCAGUUUCAAAGUCUGCACAUAAUAAGGCAAACGGCAGGUCAGAGAACUGAGGUUCAAAGAGGCAGGGCUGAGACAGGGGACGGCAACGCCUGUGUUCCUUCCCUAGCCCACAAGUCCUCCACAGGAGCAUGCCAGCCUCAGGAUGAUGGAUGCAAAGAAAAUGACGAGAUCCCAAGUCAGCCAGUAUGGAAUAGCCACUCUGCCGGGGAUAGAGCAAGGCACGCCUGCAUGCAUUCUAUUUAAAGAUUUUUUCCUCAUGAUUGAAAACCAAUGGAACUUACUGUUUGUAACCAUUGUAACCACUGUGGUAGUCUUUGAUGCGUUUUCAAAAUGUAAACAUAACAAAAUGCUUCUGCCUUUUGGAUUUAUUAGUUAAUAUGUCACAUCAAUAUAAGAUGCAUUUCCAUGUUUGUACCAGCAAGGAAUCAAUCAACCCUUACAAUGGUUUGGCAAUUAAGAAGAGCCUUGAUCUUCUCUCUGUAGCCCAAGAACUGAUGGUACUGAGAACCAAUGAGCAGAUCAAAAGCAGCAAAAGUGCUCAAGUCUACAAUCAGCAUGCAGCUGAACCUUUCAAAGACAUCUGUCUUCCCCAUCGUACAGAUUGGCUCCAUGCAGACUUAGAAAAGACCAUGUCCAAGUGUAAAUGUGAGUUAAACUUCAUCUGUGAAAGCAAUUACAUGAUGUGUUCUGAUUCUAUAUUCUUGUGCUGAAACAAAAGCAAUCUCAUCCCACCAGUGAGCUUAUUUUCAGUUUUUUGUUUUCAAUUCUCUUUUUGUUCCCUAAAAAAUGUAAAACAUGAGCUACUGAAGAGGGAAAGAGAGAGAGUAGAGCUGUCAGGUAUCUGCCUACAUGAUAUGAGUUAAGGGGAGCUUUAAUAUUCCCAAACCUGAAAUAUCUUUUGAACUGGAGGAGCUUCCUAAGGGUUGGAUGCUAUCAGAAUCCUGGUAUCCACCACCCUUUUAUUUGGGAAGGUGGGUCCAGGGAGUGAGAAAAGAUAUUUCAUU